GUGGGGAAUUUUGGACAAUGGGCGCAAGCCUGAUCCAGCCAUGCCGCGUGCAGGAUGAAGGCCUUCGGGUUGUAAACUGCUUUUGUACGGAACGAAAAAGCUCUCUCUAAUACAGGGGGUGAAUGACGGUACCGUAAGAAUAAGCACCGGCUAACUACGUGCCAGCAGCCGCGGUAAUACGUAGGGUGCAAGCGUUAAUCGGAAUUACUGGGCGUAAAGCGUGCGCAGGCGGUUAUGUAAGACAGAGGUGAAAUCCCCGGGCUCAACCUGGGAACUGCCUUUGGGACUGCAUAGCUGGAGUGCGGCAGAGGGGGAUGGAAUUCCGCGUGUAGCAGUGAAAUGCGUAGAUAUGCGGAGGAACACCGAUGGCGAAGGCAAUCCCCUGGGCCUGCACUGACGCUCAUGCACGAAAGCGUGGGGAGCAAACAGGAUUAGAAACCCUGGUAGUCC
RNAcentral lists this ribosomal RNA (450 nucleotides) under uncultured bacterium. Its description in RNAcentral is "partial 16S ribosomal RNA". It matches the Rfam family "Bacterial small subunit ribosomal RNA", at positions 354 to 796 of the family's 1533-position model. The record is from RNAcentral.